GACGAACGCUGGCGGCGUGCUUAACACAUGCAAGUCGAGCGGUAAGGCCCUUUCGGGGGUACACGAGCGGCGAACGGGUGAGUAACACGUGGGUGACCUGCCCUCAGCUCUGGGAUAAGCCUGGGAAACUGGGUCUAAUACCGGAUAUGACUCCAUGACGCAUGUUGUGGGGUGGAAAGCCUUGUGCGGCUGAGGAUGGGCCCGCGGCCUAUCAGCUUGUUGGUGGGGUGAUGGCCUACCAAGGCGACGACGGGUAGCCGGCCUGAGAGGGCGACCGGCCACAUUGGGACUGAGACACGGCCCAGACUCCUACGGGAGGCAGCAGUGGGGAAUCUUGGACAAUGGAGGAAACUCUGAUCCAGCCAUGCCGCGUGAGUGAUGAAGG
Molecule: ribosomal RNA, 385 nt
Filed under: uncultured bacterium
Lineage: Bacteria
Description: bacterial SSU rRNA
Rfam family: Bacterial small subunit ribosomal RNA
Source: RNAcentral